GUGCACAUAGCCUGUCUUCUCUUGAGAGCCAGGUCUUUUUACGGCUGCCUUUCUCAAUAGCAAGGCUAUGCUCACUGAGUUUGUACGUAGUCAAAGCUUUCCUUAAGUUUGGGUCAGUCACAGUGGUCAGGUGUAACCGAUGUGAAAUGGCUAGUUAGUUAGCGGUGGUGCGCGCUAAUAGCAUUUCAAUCGGUGACGUCACUCGCUCUGAGACCUGAAGUGGUUGUUCCCCUUGCGUUGCAAGGGCCGCGGCUUUUGUGGCGCGAUGGGUAACGAUGCUUCGUGGGUGUCAGUUGUUGAUGUGUGCAAGGGUCCCAGGUUGGGGCGAAGAGAGGGACGGAACCUACACUGUUACACAGAGCCCCAGGACCAGCUUGCUUAGGGGACUCUUCUCCAAGUUCAUCUCUCUGUAGGUGAUGGCUUUGUUAUGGACGGUUUGGGAAUCGCUUCCUUUAAGGUGGUUGUAGAAUUUAACGUCUCUUUUCUGGAUUUUGACAAUUAGCGGGUAUCGGUCUAAUUCAGCUCUGCAUGCAUUAUUUGGUGUUUUACGUUGUACAUGGAGGAUAUUUUUGGAGAAUUCUGCAUGCAGUCUCAAUUUGGUGUUUGAAUUCUUGGUUGGUGAGCGGACCCCUGACCUUAUAACCAUAAAGGGUAAUGGGUUCUAUAACUGAUUCAAGUAUUUUUAGCCAGAUCCCCCCUCUCUCUCUCUCUCUCUCUCUCUCUCUGUUAACCAGAUUGAAUUUAGCAGUGUCUCUCCUCCAGUCUGUAACACAUUCCUACCAUCUGUUGGAACUUGCUGGCAGGCAGGGAGGAGGAGGAAGCAGUGGUAUUUCCACGCUUUCUAUAAAUAGCUCAUAUGCCACAGUCAGUCAGUCAUCCAGUCAGUCAGUCUCAGUCGGUCAGUCGGCCGGUCAGCCGGUCAGUCACUAACCUCGAUCACUCCACACAAUGGAACCAUUCAGAUGCCCCGAGACAGAGAUCUAGUAUCAGUUUCUGAUCAGCGUCCAGAGGCAACUUCAACUUCCCCAAUCCCCCAUCAAUUCAGCUCGACAAGACAGAAUGUGAUGAUGUCACUUGUGAUGUCAUUUCCCAUUGGACCUGACUAAUUGCUAGACGUCCCUUCAAUGGAGGAAGAAACCAUCUGUUCACAGCAGAGCAGGAACAACACAUAGUGAAUAAGGUCAUUUCAAACAACAGCAUACGUUUACGACUACUGCAUCACCACAUCAUCACUGACAACACAACAUUCAGUACCAUAAAUAGGGUGAGUUUAUCGCACUUGGCCGUCUUCUGAAACGCUAUCAGAUUCGUAUGAAGCAGCUCUACAGAGUACCAUUUGAACAAAAUUCUGACAGUGAAACAACUGCGCUAUGAAUACAGAGUUCUGGAACUAGAUGCUGCUGCAGAGCAUCAUGAUUUCGUCUACGUUGAUGAGGUCGGCUUUAACAUAGCUAAAACAAGCCGCAGGGGAAGAAACCUCAUAGGACACCACCAUCGUCAAUGUCUCUGGACAGCGUGGUGACAACAUCACAAUGUGUGCAGCCAUUAGUCAGAAUGGUGUCCUUCAUCGCUUGUGAUGUUGAUGGGGUACUGUGGCCAGACCCAAAAUGGAGACAGGAUGCACCCUAAUUGUUUUUUUCUUUAUAAUAACAAGCCUAUUUGUUUUUCUUCUACUGUAUUUGUUUAAUCUGUUACUGUUCAUCCCGAAAUCUGGAUGAAAAUACAAAAUACUAUGUUUUGAGAAAGAAAUACAUUACAUUUUUCCCCCCUUGCAUUUCUGUUUAUAGUGUAAAUAUAUACUGAAUAUGCAUACAUACUGUAUAUAUUUUUGCAUAUACAUGUAUGUGUGAGUGCUUUGACAAACUGCCGUGGACUCCACUGCACACUGAACAUGCAAAAGACACAAGAUAGUAGUGUUUUCCAUUUGUCACAUCCGUGUGUAGUUGGCGUGUAUAAGAGCUAAUCAUUUGAUGGUUUGUGUGAAGAGUUUUGAUGCAAAAACACAAUUUUGAGAAUUUUGAGUUAAAAUCGUUUUGAAUGAAGUGUUUGGUUUUGCAAGAGAUGUGUGCCGUUUUGCAUGUUGUGUGUGCUUUAGGGUUUUGUGUGUAGAGUCUAGAGAAAAGGAGCCGUAGUUUCAGAAAUCAUGUGUAAGCAAUUGUCAAAAACUGUAAUAUGAAGUCAUACUUUGAUUAACUGGUACACGUUGGAUUAGACUGUGGAUCCACAGGCUUAUCUUUUCAGAGGAACCCACAACCCAGUCUCUUUUCUAUUACUCUCUUUUCUACUCUACUUCUCCAUUCUCUCUCUUUCUACCUCUCCCACUCUGUCUAUCAUACACAUGUCCACAGUGGUGGAAAAAGUACCUAAUUGUCAUAUUUGAGUAAAAGUAAAGAUACCUGAAUAGAAAAUGACUCAAGAAAAAGUGAAAGUCACCCAGUAAAAUACUACUUGAGUAAAAGUCUAAAAGUAUUUGGUUUUAAAUGUACUUAAGUAUCAAAAGUAAAUGUAAUUGCUAAAAUACACUUAAGUAUCAAAAGUCUAAGUAAAAG
This 2549-nucleotide long non-coding RNA is filed under the name Salmo salar (Atlantic salmon). RNAcentral describes it as "lncRNA (ENSSSAG00000089816.1, ENSSSAG00000093547.1)". The record is from RNAcentral. Lineage: Eukaryota; Metazoa; Chordata; Actinopteri; Salmoniformes; Salmonidae.